RNAcentral lists this ribosomal RNA (497 nucleotides) under uncultured bacterium. RNAcentral's name for it is "partial 16S ribosomal RNA". It matches the Rfam family "Bacterial small subunit ribosomal RNA", at positions 28 to 507 of the family's 1533-position model. The record is from RNAcentral.
GACGAACGCUGGCGGCGUGCCUAAUACAUGCAAGUAGAACGCUGAAACUUGGUGCUUGCACCGAGCGGAUGAGUUGCGAACGGGUGAGUACCGCGUAGGUAACCUGCCUGGUAGCGGGGGAUAACUAUUGGAAACGAUAGCUAAUACCGCAUAAGAGUGGAUGUUGCAUGACAUUUGCUUAAAAGGUGCUAUUGCACCACUACCAGAUGGACCUGCGUUGUAUUAGCUAGUUGGUGGGGUAACGGCUCACCAAGGCGACGAUACAUAGCCGACCUGAGAGGGUGAUCGGCCAAACUGGGACGGAGACACGGCCCAGACUCCUACGGGAGGCAGCAGUAGGGAAUCUUCGGCAAUGGACGGAAGUCGGACCGAGCAACGCCGCGUGAGUGCAGAAGGUUGUCGGAUCGUAAAGCUCUGUUGUAAGAGAAGAACGAGUGUGAGAGUGGAAAGUUCACACUGUGACGGUAUCUUACCAGAAAGGGACGGCUAACUACGUG